CUCUGCUCUUUUGUUCACCUGAAAUCCUCUCUUACACCUUAGUCACGUGAUUAGACCCAUCCUUCUUGUCGGAACUGUCAAACUGGUUAUGCCAUAAACAUAACCAACCACACAACCAGAUAAAGGGAGGUGGGGAGUGGUAGGCGGUGGUGCUGGAGAGUUGGACAAGACAUCCUCUUCAUUCUUUACACAGAUUUUGAGGUUUGAGGUCUUUUUUGUGUUCUUUAACAGUGCUUUCAAUUUGGAUUACGAAGCAUCUUUUGAACUAAGAAAACUAGAGGCAACCCAGGAAGAGGAAUACAAGACCAGGAAUGACAGUAAGCCUCAGAUAUACUGUAGAGAAAAGGAAGAGGAACAAAAUGAUGUACAAAGCAGUUCAUAGAUUUGCUUCAGGCUUCAUGCUGUAGGCUAUGGGAAGACUAUGAUAACCAACGAGUCAUUGAAACUCACUCAUACGACCACACGUUAUCAUUGACUCAGUGAAUAAGAAGCCAAGCUGACCCUGCAGAACCUGCAUCUGGAUCAGAUGCAGCGGACGCGCGUCAACCAACUCAAGGAGAGGCAGUGGCUGGAAAACCUGCUGAAGGGGCAGCUAGACUGGAAGAAGAAGAAUGUGGAGGAGAUGGAGGCAGAGGUGAACAAACUGACCGAAGAGGAGGGGAAGAAGAAGACUGAGGUCGAGGCCUGCCAGGCAGACAAGAAACAAAAGGAGGAAGAACUUGCACCCAUACAGAAGGAGCAGAGUGAUAUUGAAGCGACGUUCAAAACUGAAAAGGAGGCUUGGACUGGGGAGAUCACCACUCUCAAACUGCAGUUGGAGCAGAGUAGCAAAGUGUGUGGUUUUGUAAAGGACUCAACAGAUACAGCGAAAUUAUGUCCACCCAAAGAAGGAGCAGCAAAACCUGAAGCGGCCCCUGUACAAGCUGAAGCGGCCCCUGUAAAAGCUGAAGCGGCCCCUGUACAAGCUGAAGCGGCCCCUGUAAAAGCUGAAGCGGCCCCUGUACAAGCUGAAGCGGCCCCUGUAAAAGCUGAAGCGGCCCCUGUAAAAGCUGAAGCAGCCCCUGUAAAAGCUGAAGCAGCCCCUGUAAAAGCUGAAGAGGCCGCUGUACAAGGUGAACCUGCAUCUGUAAAAGCUGAAGCAGCCCCUGUAAAAGCCGAAGAGGUCCCUGCACAAGCUGAAGCGGCCCCUGCUCCAAAGCAGUAAACGUCUCCAAAGAUACGGUGACAUUAUGCAUCACAAUAGUAAUUAUAUUACUAUUCAUUCGUGAUGCUCACUCAUAUUUAUGUUGUUUGUUUGUGGGUAAUCUUGUGGGUAAUCUUGUGGGUAAUCUUGGCAACCCAAUGUAAAUUACACCAUUUAUGUUAUAUAGUCUGUCCACAAGAGAUUAGGCUGUGGGCAUUGUCAAUGUGUCAGUUUGGCACACUAUGUCAAUGUGCCUAAAGUAAUUAGGUGCUGUUCGUUUUCAAAAACGUUUAAUAUCUUAUCAGUUUUUAAAUAAACGUUUUUUGUUUUUAAUUUCCAUUUUUAUAAAGCCUUUUAGUUAGGCACAGAAAACACGGAAAGAGAAAACACUGCUUUUCCCUGUUGGUGGUUCAUGUGAUGAAGAGGGUGGAACUCCUAUCAAACCUGCACAGUUCAAUACCAAUAUAACUUAGACCAUUAAAGUUUUAAUGUAGCUUACCUUAUCAUCAUCAUCAUUGACUGCCAGGGUAAAACAUAAUAUUGUAAAGCUGUUGGGUGUAAUCUGCCAGGUUAAAAUGGAGCCAGCUGGUGGAUGAGUAAUAUGUAAACAUAGGGUGACAGUGAGCAGCGAGCAAAAUGACCAUAGACGAGAUGUUGACAAUGGCUUAUUAAUAGGCAUAAAUACAUAGUAUUUCUAUGAUUGCAGUCCUCAAAGAUUGAAUUGCAAUGAAUCAAAUGAAUCAGAUUCAAUGGUUUACCGCCCAUAGGGCGGGUGCAGUUUUUUUGUGCUUUGGAAUGUUCGGUAUUCCUGGGAUACCAUGCUGUCACCAUGUAAAUUAUAUAAAAACAUUUAUAAAACGGGUUGUUUGGAUCCUGGAUGCUGACUGGUUGAUAGAAGGGAGUUAUAGCACAACAAUCCCCGCAUUCACCGGGUAAUGCCUGUUAACAGUUCCAUUUGAUUUAUCAAUGCGCAUCCACUAUCCACUAGCCUGGCUGACGUGACUCACGGUACCACACAGCACGGUACCACACAGCAGACUCACUGGUCUGGAAAGGAGGCCGUUUAUUACAGUUUUUCUCCAUUGGUUUGGCUCAUUUCUUGAAACAGAAAUUACAUUCUCAAAACUCUAAGAUCAUUUGGCAAAACAGUCUUACAGUUCAGCACAACACUAUAGCUCACUUGCAAAAGCUCAUAUCUCUCCUAAAACUGUUCACUCAUGCUUCAAAACUAAAUUCCUUUCCCAUAUAAAGAGUCAGUGCCACGAAAAUGGCAAAGAUCCUUCUCAAUUGCUUUGGCUAAUUUCUUGAAACAGACCGGACGUUUUCAACACUCUUGGUGCUUUAACCAAAACUAAAUUUCCUUCUCAUUUAAACAGUCAGUGCCCCCAAAAUGCUUCGUCCCUUUGGCAUUGUGUAAGCACUGCAAGUCAAAAUGUUUAGAUGUUUUGUCACUAUGGCAGAGGACCAUUGAAAUAUCCCUCAUGUCCACCUUUCAGUCUUAGCCCAGUCCUUCAUUGACAAUGGUUACUGUACUGUUUUUUGUCCAGCUAACAGAAUACAAUUGUGUAUAAAACUGAAAAAAAGAAAUAGGAUUUUAGGGUAAGAGUAGCCUCCAAGGUUUGACAUCACACAUUGCACUCAUACUGCCAAGGAAAUUGUAACCAUUAUCAUUCACACACAUAAAGUAACUUCCAUACAUCAGAGUAAAAAGAAAAUGUAUACAGCAUAAUAUACUGUAAUAUAAACACACAAACAAAAAACAAUGAAAAUUAUAUGCAGCCUACAGUGCUGUAAAUAAAGCUGGAGUUUCACAACUAACAGUUCUUCACUGGUCGCUGUCCUCACCCUCCUGGCCAUCCACACGCUGCUGUCUGUCUGGCCACAGAUUCUCGUCCACAUCACAGCGUAUAUGCUCCCUUGCGAUGCAACGAGGGAAGAAACGGCGUGCAUGUCGCAACCAUCCCCUACACUGAUCUCCUGUAAUAUCCUCACACGCAGCGUCCAUUGCAUGGAGCAGGGACCUCUGAUCUUGAGCCCGAUGCUCAUACACUCUCCACCUCCAAGCAGAGAAAUACUCCUCAAUAGGAUUGAGGAAAGGAGAGUAAGGUGGUAGGAACACCAUGACCAUCCUUGGAUGAGUAGUGAACCAGGCCCUGAUGAGCGGGCCACGGUGGAAAUUCACAUUGUCCCAUACAAUGACAUAUUGUGGUAGGUGAGGCCUUACGAGACCUCUCUCAUUUUCAGGGAUCAAAUCAAAAUGAAGGCGGUCCAAGAAGAUGAGGAGCUUCUGUGUAUUGUAUGGGCCAAGACUGGUGAUGUGAGUGGCCACACCAUUCUCAGAUAUGGCAGCACACAUAGUUAUAUUGCCCCCUCGCUGGCCUGGGACAUCCACCGUGGCCCGGUGGCCAAUAAUAUUACGGCCACGUCUUCGGCCCUUGGCCAGGUUGAAGCCAGCUUCAUCCACAAACACGAGGAUGUGAUGGGUCUCGUGCUCCUCGGCCUCUUCCCCCUAUUCCACCACCACGCACCCUUACUCCUCCUCCUCCUCUUCUUCUUCUUCCUCUUCCUCUUCCUCGAGCAGGCAGUUGCCCUUGUUCAUUUACUUGGCCAGGUGCCUCCAUGUUCAGAAAUUGUACUGGUCCUGCAUGGUCAAGCUCUUUACAUACAUGUUUGGCAGCAUUCACAGUCAUGGACAGCACCUGUCAGGUAACUAAUCAUACUGUUUGAUUGGUCAUCUGAGAUGUGUGAAACUCCUCCUUCGUUAGUCAAGUUCUAGUUUCACCUGACUGUCAAUUGCUGUAAUAAAUGUAUCAAAUGUUCCAAGGGAUUCAUAUAUGGUAUUCAUGGUAUUAUGUUCUUGACUAAUUUUGACAAUUGAACAGACUAUUGUGCAUGUGAUGACUUAUACAAUGAAAUGACGCUGACACGUUUUGGAGAGAACAACCAUUAGACUGAGAAUCAGCAAUCAGUUUAGAUCGAUAAGAUCUAUUCACUUGGAAAUUGUGCUAAAUGUAGGCUACAUGUACUUAAUCAUUUGCAAAGAUGUACUGAGACAUUGAGACAUGUACUUAGACAUUUGCAAUUUGAUGAAAUGAAUGAGAAAUUCAAUUCUGUUGUGAACAAUUGCCAAGUGGUUUGGAGGUUUGUCCAUGUAGUUUUGAGAAUGUAAUUUCUGUUUCAAGAAAUGAGCCAAACCAAUGGAGAAAAACUGUAAUGCAAUAUUCACUCAGAAAUUGAGCAGACGGAUUGAUUGGUUGAGACCUCUCAUUGUUUGGAUUUGAAAAUCCAACAUUUGUAAUGGAAGGGGGCGGUGCUCAGGGGCUUUGUGUGGCUGUGCCUGUAGGUGUUUGAGUGAGACAACAUCAAAACAGCCUUUCCAGACUCUAAAGUCAGGAGGACUUCGAGUUUGGUAUCAGCCAGACUACUGUCCCACAACCCAGCCAGUCAAUUUAUAUUAUAGCCUUAACUUCAUCUCCCCUGUUAAAAAGUAUCUAAACCAUUUUCCCCCAUGCUAUUAGGUUAGCAUUUCGUUUACAACAGUUAGGGUUUGUCUAAACCUUGCUGUCUGCUUCUCUGACCUGUGGAAGUUUUUUUGCGAUCUCCUCCGUACCAUGCAUAUGAACGUGACGUGACUGACAGUUUCUCUGAGCCAGGCAAAUUAAUUUAUCAGGAUCAUUAUAAUGGAUAUAUCCAAAGAAAUGGCAAAAGAAACAAACAAAUGUAAAACAAAGGAAAGUACACAUAGUUGCUGUCAUUUCAGCUGCUUUCUUUAGUUUGCUAGAGGAAAGGAGAAGUACAGUAGCUAGCCUGGAGCUACAUGGCAAUGAUUUGUUUAGCAUAGCAAUCAUUGCAAAAAUAAUGGAUAGAAUGAACGACCAGCCUAUUUGGCUAGCAACUUAAGACCUCAUAAUUAUUUAAAAAAUGUUUGCAUUUUAUCGCACCUACAGUAUGGCUUUUAUGAUCACAGGACAUUCCCCACUAAAUACACCCACACUCCUAUUCAAAUAGUCAUCUCUACUACUCAGCUGUCGUUGUCUUUUACCUUUCCUGAGGAAAUGCAGUAGAUAUUUAAUGAAGUGGGAAUGAGAUAUUGGACUUUGAUUCAUCACUGCCAAUGAUGUGCUUGAUGUUGUAUUUCCAUCACAGUAACGAUGAUGCACUGGGGACUCUGAUCAUGAUGUGUAAUUAAUUAAUGUAAAGGUUUUUCAGUUUGCUUUACUUCUUCGUCCAUAAGCUUUUUGAGGCUUAUAGGACUUCAGCAAAAUGAAUACUUUUUUUAUUCUUACUUUUUCAAGAAUUGUCUGUUCAAAAACAUACUGAAAAAUUGUUUGGAGUUUUGGAAUGGCAUCAUAUUUCAUGGCCAUUCUGUAGUACUUGUCAUGGAGUUGUUUGUGAUCACUGCUUGUUUAGCCUGUCACACUGUUGCCGUCGUGAGUAUUGUUUUGUUUGGUUUUCCAGU
Molecule: long non-coding RNA, 5642 nt
Filed under: Salmo salar (Atlantic salmon)
Lineage: Eukaryota; Metazoa; Chordata; Actinopteri; Salmoniformes; Salmonidae
Description: lncRNA (ENSSSAG00000063618.2)
Source: RNAcentral